Molecule: ribosomal RNA, 468 nt
Filed under: uncultured bacterium
Lineage: Bacteria
Description: partial 16S ribosomal RNA
Rfam family: Bacterial small subunit ribosomal RNA
Source: RNAcentral
GACGAACGCUGGCGGCGUGCUUAACACAUGCAAGUCGAACGGAAAGGCCCGGCUUUUGUGGGGUGCUCGAGUGGCGAGCGGGGGAGUAACACGUGUGUAACCUGCCCUUUACUUUGGGAUAACUUCUGGAAACUGGGGCUAAUACCGGAUAGGAGCUCCUGCUGCAUAGUGUGGGUUGGAAAGUUUCGGCGGUUGGGGAUGUACUCGCGGCUUAUCAGCUUGUUGGUGGGGUAGUGGCUUACCAAGGCUUUGACGGGUAGCCGGCCUGGGAGGGUGAACGGCCACAUUGGGACUGAGAUACGGCCCAGAAUCCUACGGGAGGCAGCAGUGGGGAAUAUUGCACAAUGGGCGGAAGCCUGAUGCAGAAAUGCCGCGUGCGGGAUGACGGCCUUCGGGUUGUAAACCGAUUUCGCAUGUGACGAAGAGUGAGUGACGGUAAUGGGUAAAGAAGCACCGGCUAACUACGUG